GAUGAACGCUGGCGGCGUGCCUAACACAUGCAAGUCGAACGGACUUACAUUGAAGCCUAGCGAUAUGUAAGUUAGUGGCGGACGGGUGAGUAACGCGUGGGUAACCUGCCUUGUACUGGGGGACAACAGUUGGAAACGACUGCUAAUACCGCAUAAGCGCACAGCUUCGCAUGAAGCAGUGUGAAAAACUCCGGUGGUACAAGAUGGACCCGCGUCUGAUUAGCUAGUUGGUGAGGUAACGGCCCACCAAGGCGACGAUCGGUAGCCGGACUGAGAGGUUGAACGGCCACAUUGGGACUGAGACACGGCCCAGACUCCUACGGGAGGCAGCAGUGGGGAAUAUUGCACAAUGGGGGAAACCCUGAUGCAGCGACGCCGCGUGGAGGAAGAAGGUCUUCGGAUUGUAAACUCCUGUUGUUGAGGAAGAUAAUGACGGUACUCGAACAAGGAAGUGACGGCUAACUACGUG
This 469-nucleotide ribosomal RNA is filed under the name uncultured bacterium. RNAcentral's name for it is "bacterial SSU rRNA". It matches the Rfam family "Bacterial small subunit ribosomal RNA", at positions 28 to 507 of the family's 1533-position model. The record is from RNAcentral.